GUGGGUUUUUCCAGGCAGUUGGAGAGUUAGCAGCAAAGGAUCAACUAGAGCUGAGCAAAAAAAUGAUUUUUCUGGUUACAGGUUUCUUGAAAAUGAACAAACCAGCACGAAUUUGUGAGCCAUUUCAGUGCUGCUAAAUCUGCAUUUUCCACUGAAAAAAGGGGUUUGGUCAGUUUUCUUUCACAGCUGUAGGAUCAACCUGCAACAGAGAAGACUCCUACAGGAGAUGAGGAGACUGUGUUUCAUCUUCAGUUUGGUGCUGCCAAUGACAUCCAGACUCUGAACCCAAGCUAUUCCCAGCCUGGCACCAGGACCAUCAGCUACACUCCAAAGGAGAUGCACCACAGGCAGCUGCAGGUCUGAGCCACCUGCACGAGGACAGCAGCCUCUCUUCUCUCCCUGAGAAAGCAUUGAGCUGGCAACCCAGUGGCUCAGCAAGAGGCAGAAGCAGAGCUGGGCUCUUCCUGUAAAGGAAUAGAGAGAGGAACAUUCUUCCCUUCAUCAGGCACAUCUUCUCUAGCACAGCCCCUGAUACACAGGCAAAACUGCUGCCCCCUGGCUACUCAACCGUGACAGAAUUUAAAAAAAUAAAAGGCUCUGGUACAAGAGAAACUCCAUUUUGAAGUCCCCAAAUUCCAUUUUGAAUCCAUGGAUUCCAUUUUGAAUAAGCAAGAGUCACUCCAUCACCAGAUGGAAGCUGCAGGUCACAUAGUGCUAAGUAUAGAAUUGGUGGGGGAAAGGUGGUAAACAACAGUGACUCAGCAGAUCAAAUAACGGUUGCGAGUCUAAAAACAGAACUGUCAAUUAGCCAAAGAAGAUAAGCAAUUAGGAUGAUGUCAUGUGUCUAAAAAUAGAAUUGAAAAACGGUAUAAAGGUCAGUGUGUCAGUUGAGGAGACAGUUAAGAAGAGAGAAAGAAGACCAGAGGGAGAUAAGACCUGUCCUAAUGAACACCUAAAGACUGUUACAAACUGCUGUCAGCAACCUGUGGAAGGCUGGCCAUUUGAAGUGGGGAGCAGUCACCUAGGAUCAUCUCAACUCUGUUAUUGCAGUUUGGGGUGCUCUUUAACAUGUUGUAAGGGAUUUGUGUUUUAGAUUGUUACUGUGUCAGGGUUGUGGUUAGCACCAAUAGAAAGGUGUCUUGUUUUAGAAAAGCAUACUGCUUGCAUCAAUCAUUUAUCAGUUGUGCCCAUGUCCUCUGGGGGUAACAGGUCUGAGAUGUUCUGGGGAGCUUCUGAAACAGAACCCCAGGCAAGCCUAAGAUAUUCCUUGGCCACUAUGGAGACCCAUCCCUAAUGAGAACAGAUUGGUUAUAACAGGUGCACUGUUUUAGGGGAUCCCUUGGAAAACC
Molecule: long non-coding RNA, 1349 nt
Organism: Mauremys mutica (yellowpond turtle)
Lineage: Eukaryota; Metazoa; Chordata; Testudines; Geoemydidae
Exons: 4
Source: RefSeq, a predicted model, not a curated record